RNAcentral lists this long non-coding RNA (523 nucleotides) under Mus spicilegus (steppe mouse). RNAcentral describes it as "lncRNA (ENSMSIG00000009732.1)". Lineage: Eukaryota; Metazoa; Chordata; Mammalia; Rodentia; Muridae. The record is from RNAcentral.
CUAAGAUGGUGGGUGGCCCGCCGUGACUGGUCUCUGAAUGUGGUUAGCACUCAAGGUCUCUGUGGCAGUUGGCCUGCUCCAGAAAGAUGGCUUCAUGGGAAAAGAGGUGCAGAAUACAAUGUCAAUUGGAAGUGAAGUCGACAGAUAAGAAAGUCAAUUUCAUUACAUCAUGUAGCGCUUGUUUGCCACAGUCACAGUCUGAACUUCAAUGUCAGAUAAUCCGAAUCCAAGUACUGACCUUGGAAAAGAGCAUUAACCUAUCUGCAUUUGCCUUAAAAGUGAGUAUUACAUUUGAAUAGCAUGCUUGUGUACUAAAUAGAAAUGUCUUCUCUAAGUCUGUUGCCCUGAGGCCAUCUUUUAGAUGUCUUUUGAAGCAUCUGGUAGUGGACAGGAGCUCACUGUAAGUUCUGUGCUCCAGUCUCUGCUGAUAACUCAGUAGAGUGUUCCAGAAAACCCUUGACAAAGAAAGGUAAUUGUUGUUAGCCAGACUGACUUAUUCUUUUAGAAAGUGGGGAGUGGUGGG